UGUCGUCAGCUCGUGUCGUGAGAUGUUCGGUUAAGUCCGCUAACGAGCGCAACCCUCGUCGUAUGUUAUAUGUGUCAUACGAGACUGCCGGUAAAAAGACCGGAGGAAGGUGAGGAUGAUGUCAAGUCAGCAUGACCUUUAUAUCCAGGGCUACACACACGCUACAAUGGUCUGUACAAUGGGUAGCCAAGCCGCGAGGCGGAGCCAAUCCUGAAAGCAGGCCUCAGUUCAGAUUGCAGUCUGCAACUCGACUGCAUGAAGCCGGAGUUGCUAGUAACCGCAGGUCAGCAAUACUGCGGUGAAUACGUUCCCGGGUCUU
This 319-nucleotide ribosomal RNA is filed under the name uncultured Anaerolineaceae bacterium. RNAcentral's name for it is "bacterial SSU rRNA". It matches the Rfam family "Bacterial small subunit ribosomal RNA", at positions 1050 to 1382 of the family's 1533-position model. The record is from RNAcentral. Lineage: Bacteria; Bacillati; Chloroflexota; Anaerolineae; Anaerolineales; Anaerolineaceae.